CGGGCCAGCUGUCACCAUGAAGAAAUUCUUCCAGAUCGUCAAGGCUGACAUAGAGUUCAAGAGAGCGGGGCCCAGUCAGAAGCUCACAGACUCCGUGGGGUAACUGAGGCCAAAGAGGAAGGCUUAACCCACCUGGCUGUACCUACUCUGAGGAAGGACCAACGGGAUGCCUGCAUCAGAGAGGCCAUUCUCUUGGGAAGAACCCAGAGGAGGGGGCCUGAGACCUCCAGGAGUGGCUGGAGAGCCAGAGGCAUGUCCUGAAACCCAAACCCAGGGAAACGGAGCACCUCCUGUGUCAUCAUCGAAUGGUGACUGUCAAUGUAAAAGAGAAGUCCCAGGACAGAAGCCAGGUGAAAGAAGGUGCGGUUGGCAUUUCCCCAAGCAUGGAUGGAUACCUGUGGCUGUGGAGCACUUCCCGCACCAGAAGACAACACAGACUCGGGGUCGGUGGGCUGCCGCCCCCAGCUGCAGAGGAGGAAAAGAGACAAGUGAAAACGUGAAGAAAAGGGUGGGUGCCACGGGGGCAGGACCUCCCCCGCCCCUCCCAGCACUGGAUAUUGCUUUCUUUCCCAACCAUUAGAAAUGUGGUGGGUGGAAAAACUUCCUUUGUUUUUCUUUGUUUGCAAGUGAAGUUGACUUUCUCUUUAUGGGGUGUGUGUGGAGUACACUCAUUGCCACAUUUCUCUCGUGUGACCUGCCUGUUUGCAUCCUUCGUCCAUCUUUCUCAUCGGCUGGCAUGGACUCUUUGCACCCUGACUUCUGUGCUGGGCUACGCAUCCUGCAUGCCCUUUCCAUGCUGUGUCUUGCAAGGUGGUGUAUCUCUGAAAGUUUUGUGGGUAUUUGCACACUGUUGGGUGCAGGUUCACGUUUCUAUAGUUGGAGUCUAUUCUUGAAUUAACGCUGGCAAGAAAAGAUCUUGUCACCCAGGGGUGAUGAGUCUGUCUCCCUUGGCAUCUUCACCGGAUGGGCUGGGAGCACCUGGGCUUUACCAUCUCUCCCUUGCGGGUGGGUGAGCAGAGAGGAGCAUUGGGCAGUUGAAAGCCCUGGAUGACAGGGACGUGGUGAUGAGGGCUUAGACUGGCUUGUACUGAGAUCUCGCAAGAGGUGGAGAGUCUCUGGGCCUCCCCUAAAAAGCGAGGGGAUAAUGUCCAGGGGGUGACACUGGCAAUAUCCAGAAGGCACCUGGGGGGACAAGCAGGCUGGAGCAGAGGUGAAGGGACUUGUCUUCCCGCGCUGUACUUCUCUGCCCACUUCAGCUUUUACCCUGCACGCAUUUGUGGACUCCCCUGUAUGUUAUUAUGAAAAAUUUCAAGCACACAGAAAUGCUGCGUGGCUCAGACAUGAGCAUCCUACACACACGCCUGCAGUCGACCUCUAACUCCUGGCCACGCGCUACCUGUCCACCUGCCUCCCCUCCCCCCACCCCUGAAGUUGAGAGGUACUUCAAGUUGCAGGUGCUUUCAUAA
Cynocephalus volans (Philippine flying lemur) is the source of this 1466-nucleotide long non-coding RNA. RefSeq lists it as uncharacterized. The transcript is spliced from 4 exons. The record is from RefSeq and is a predicted model, not a curated record. Lineage: Eukaryota; Metazoa; Chordata; Mammalia; Dermoptera; Cynocephalidae.